Molecule: ribosomal RNA, 516 nt
Filed under: Triticum aestivum (bread wheat)
Lineage: Eukaryota; Viridiplantae; Streptophyta; Magnoliopsida; Poales; Poaceae
Description: partial small subunit ribosomal RNA
Source: RNAcentral
UUUAAAUGUAAGAGGGGAGUUAGACAAGGAGACCCAAUGCCACCUCUACUUUUUGUGCUUGCUGCUGACCUACUUCAGUCUGUAGUGAAUGAUAUGUGCAGUAAAGGAAUUUUGACUCUCCCAAUCCCUUCUCACAGCCAGGAUUUUCCCAUAGUGCAGUAUGCUGAUGAUACAAUAAUUGUGUUGCCUGCUAUUGACCAUCAGAUGCUUGCUCUUAAAGACAUGCUUGAUGUUUUUGCUGAUACAACAGGGUUAUCUGUGAAUUUUGCAAAAUCGCUUAUGGUGCCUAUGAACAUGUCAGCUGAUGUAGCUAAUAGAUUGGCCUCAAUUCUAGGAUGCAAUGUGGGAGUCAUGCCUUUUACUUAUUUGGGUCUGCCCAUGGGGAUUACCAGGCCCUCAAUUCAAGAUCUCAUGCCUCUUGUGCAUAGGAUUGAAAGGAGAUUAUCUGCCACUUCUUGCUUUCUGAACCAAGGAAGUAGGUUACAACUGCUUCAGUCUGUUUUAACUUCAAUGCCC